RNAcentral lists this ribosomal RNA (730 nucleotides) under uncultured bacterium. RNAcentral describes it as "bacterial SSU rRNA". It matches the Rfam family "Bacterial small subunit ribosomal RNA", at positions 771 to 1501 of the family's 1533-position model. The record is from RNAcentral.
AACAGGAUUAGAUACCCUGGUAGUCCACGCUGUAAACGAUGUCGACUUGGAGGUUGUUCCCUUGAGGAGUGGCUUCCGGAGCUAACGCGUUAAGUCGACCGCCUGGGGCGUACGGCCGCAAGGUUAAAACUCAAAUGAAUUGACGGGGGCCCGCACAAGCGGUGGAGCAUGUGGUUUAAUUCGAUGCAACGCGAAGAACCUUACCUACUCUUGACAUCCAGAGAACUUAGCAGAGAUGCUUUGGUGCCUUCGGGAACUCUGAGACAGGUGCUGCAUGGCUGUCGUCAGCUCGUGUUGUGAAAUGUUGGGUUAAGUCCCGCAACGAGCGCAACCCUUAUCCUUUGUUGCCAGCGGUCCGGCCGGGAACUCAAAGGAGACUGCCAGUGAUAAACUGGAGGAAGGUGGGGAUGACGUCAAGUCAUCAUGGCCCUUACGAGUAGGGCUACACACGUGCUACAAUGGCAUAUACAAAGAGAAGCGACCUCGCGAGAGCAAGCGGACCUCAUAAAGUAUGUCGUAGUCCGGAUUGGAGUCUGCAACUCGACUCCAUGAAGUCGGAAUCGCCAGUAAUCGUAGAUCAGAAUGCUACGGUGAAUACGUUCCCGGGCCUUGUACACACCGCCCGUCACACCAUGGGAGUGGGUUGCAAAAGAAGUAGGUAGCUUAACCUUCGGGAGGGCGCUUACCACUUUGUGAUUCAUGACUGGGGUGAAGUCGUAACAAGGUAACC